This 253-nucleotide ribosomal RNA is filed under the name uncultured bacterium. RNAcentral describes it as "partial 16S ribosomal RNA". It matches the Rfam family "Bacterial small subunit ribosomal RNA", at positions 524 to 776 of the family's 1533-position model. The record is from RNAcentral.
UACGUAGGGGGCUAGCGUUGUCCGGAAUCAUUGGGCGUAAAGCGCGUGUAGGCGGCUCGAUAAGUCUGCUGUGAAAGCCCAGGGCUCAACCCUGGAAUGCCGGUGGAUACUGUCGAGCUAGAGUCCGGAAGAGGCGAGUGGAAUUCCUGGUGUAGCGGUGAAAUGCGCAGAUAUCAGGAGGAACACCAAUGGCGAAGGCAGCUCGCUGGGACGGUACUGACGCUGAGACGCGAAAGCGUGGGGAGCAAACAGG